This 709-nucleotide long non-coding RNA is filed under the name Capra hircus (goat). RNAcentral's name for it is "lncRNA (ENSCHIG00000007547.1)". The record is from RNAcentral. Lineage: Eukaryota; Metazoa; Chordata; Mammalia; Artiodactyla; Bovidae.
AGUGUGAUUAUUUUUUAGCCUGCCCACACCAUAGAGGGGCAUGAAAUAGGAAAGGGACAACCUUGGGCUUCUGCUGUCAGGGGUAGGCUUUAAUGAUGUCACACAGAAAGUAUCCUGGUAGCCACAUCUCUGCCCAGUGGGGAGGACAUCAUGCUCAGCUUGACCUCAGCCAUGAAGCUGUUCUUUGAGUUGAAGGGAUUAGAACAAAACACCACACCUGUUUCAUGCUGCAGGAUCAGCCACAAGAAAUCUCGGAGGAUUGACUUGGCUCAGAGAUAAAGCAGUGCUUGGAAGACUUCUCUAAUGGGACACAGUGCUGAGCGUAAAUGAAGAGGGCAAUGACAGAGGCUACCCUGAGAUGCAAGGCUCUGUUUUGUUACAGUUGCCUUCCUUUUGUCAUCUGCAUCUGUUAGAGUGGCGAACCUCAGUGACAGACAAGAAGUAAAUGUGAGAUGCAUCAGAUCUGUUUUUGAGCAACUGAUCUUGCAUAACCAGACUGUAGCAAGCUGUCAGCUCUGUACGUCCCUCAUGGCUAGACCUUUGCACUUCUCUAUGCUGCAAUCCUCUGACCUUUUAUUCUCUAUAUAAAAGAAUAAAAUGCUGGCUUUCUAUAUGGCUCGGUGUUUUCUGUGAAACCCCACAGUUUGUAAGAGAAGGACUCGGUGUUUCAAAUACACUUCUUUUCCUAACUUGUUGAAAUAGGGUUGGU